Molecule: long non-coding RNA, 726 nt
Organism: Macrobrachium nipponense
Lineage: Eukaryota; Metazoa; Arthropoda; Malacostraca; Decapoda; Palaemonidae
Exons: 4
Source: RefSeq, a predicted model, not a curated record
UUAUUUUCCCUUUGUUGCAGUUAACUGUACUGGAUCAUCUCGACAGAGAAGAAUAAAAUACAGGGUUGAAGUUAUCGUUGCGGAUUUUGACAUUGACUGGAUGUACUGGAUCAUCUCUGCUGCUCAGAAGAAACAAACUGGUUGUCUAUGCAGUGCGGGUGUAUUACAAAUGUUUGCGAAAAAGUGGUGUCUGUAGAUAUUUAGGAAACUGUGCUGGAUUAUCUUGACUCGGAAGACUUAAAUACAGGGUUGAAGUUCUCGUUGCAGAUUUUGACAUGAAAUGGAGGAUGUACUGGAUCAUCUCUGCUGCUCAGAAGAAACAAACUGCUAGUCUAUGCAGUGCGGGUGUAUUACAAAUGUUUGUGAAAAAGUGGUGUCUGUAGAUAUUUAGGUGAGGAUACCAUGAAAAGCCUUCCCUUUUUCCUUUAGUGUUUGUCUUUUUUUACUAGGAUGCCUCUAAUAUACGUAUUGCACUUCUGGGGAACUUUGUCGUCCCAGAUUGUACUUGUGUAAGUGGAUGGUAAAUGAUUCAUAUUCUGAAGAAUUAGGGGCAGGUGCUGUCCUCUGUGAAAUGGGUAUUCGAUUUUUGUUGGAAGUUUCUCCAACACAUUUGUGUUCAGUCGGAAUUCACCCAUGGUCAACUCCUUUAAGAAUGAAUAGAUUGGUUAAAAAUUGAUACCAAUAUGGCAGCAGUAAAUUAUAAAUAUAUAUUUCUUCAAAAUAAGG